Molecule: transfer RNA, 72 nt
Filed under: Sphaerodactylus townsendi
Lineage: Eukaryota; Metazoa; Chordata; Lepidosauria; Squamata; Sphaerodactylidae
Description: tRNA-Val
Rfam family: tRNA
About the family: Transfer RNA (tRNA) molecules are approximately 80 nucleotides in length. Their secondary structure includes four short double-helical elements and three loops (D, anti-codon, and T loops).
Source: RNAcentral
GGGGCUAUGGUUCAGUGGUAGAGCAUCUGUGUCACAUGCAGAAAGUCCUGAGUUCAAUCCCUGGCAUUUCCA